RNAcentral lists this ribosomal RNA (454 nucleotides) under uncultured Parabacteroides sp. RNAcentral describes it as "partial 16S ribosomal RNA". It matches the Rfam family "Bacterial small subunit ribosomal RNA", at positions 341 to 792 of the family's 1533-position model. Lineage: Bacteria; Pseudomonadati; Bacteroidota; Bacteroidia; Bacteroidales; Tannerellaceae. The record is from RNAcentral.
ACGGGAGGCAGCAGUGAGGAAUAUUGGUCAAUGGAGGCAACUCUGAACCAGCCAUCUCGCGUGAAGGAAUACGGCCCUACGGGUCUUAAACUUCUUUUAUAGGGGGAUAAAGUGAGGCAUGCAUGCCUUUUUGUAGGUACCCUAUGAAUAAGCAUCGGCUAACUCCGUGCCAGCAGCCGCGGUAAUACGGAGGAUGCGAGCGUUAUCCGGAUUUAUUGGGUUUAAAGGGUGCGUAGGCGGACUGUUAAGUCAGCGGUGAAAUACCACGGCUCAACCGUGGGGCUGCCGUUGAUACUGGCGGUCUGGAGUACGAUCGGCGCCGGCGGAAUGUGUCAUGUAGCGGUGAAAUGCAUAGAUAUGACACAGAACACCGAUCGCGAAGGCAGCUGGCGAGAACGAUACUGACGCUGAGGCACGAAGGUGCGGGGAUCAAACAGGAUUAGAUACCCUGGUA